RNAcentral lists this ribosomal RNA (156 nucleotides) under Dactylella clavata. RNAcentral describes it as "5.8S ribosomal RNA". It matches the Rfam family "5.8S ribosomal RNA". From Rfam's summary of the family: 5.8S ribosomal RNA (5.8S rRNA) is a component of the large subunit of the eukaryotic ribosome. It is transcribed by RNA polymerase I as part of the 45S precursor that also contains 18S and 28S rRNA. Lineage: Eukaryota; Fungi; Ascomycota; Orbiliomycetes; Orbiliales; Orbiliaceae. The record is from RNAcentral.
AACUUUCAACAACGGAUCUCUUGGUUCUCGCAUCGAUGAAGAACGCAGCGAAACGCGAUAGUUAAUGUGAAUUGCAGAAUUCAGUGAAUCAUCGAGUCUUUGAACGCACAUUGCGCCCAUUGGUAUUCCUUUGGGCAUGUCUGUUUGAGCGUCAUU